UACGUAGGUGGCAAGCGUUGUCCGGAUUUACUGGGUGUAAAGGGCGUGUAGGCGGGAAUGUAAGUCAGAUGUGAAACUCCGGGGCUCAACUCCGGAACUGCAUCUGAAACUAUGUUUCUUGAGUGCUGGAGAGGAAAGCGGAAUUCCUAGUGUAGCGGUGAAAUGCGUAGAUAUUAGGAGGAACACCAGUGGCGAAGGCGGCUUUCUGGACAGUAACUGACGAUGAGGCGCGAAAGCGUGGGGAGCAAACAGG
This 253-nucleotide ribosomal RNA is filed under the name uncultured bacterium. RNAcentral describes it as "partial 16S ribosomal RNA". It matches the Rfam family "Bacterial small subunit ribosomal RNA", at positions 524 to 776 of the family's 1533-position model. The record is from RNAcentral.